RNAcentral lists this unclassified non-coding RNA (271 nucleotides) under Hevea brasiliensis (rubber tree). The record is from RNAcentral. Lineage: Eukaryota; Viridiplantae; Streptophyta; Magnoliopsida; Malpighiales; Euphorbiaceae.
UUACAUGCAACUUAGUUUUGGGUCAAUUAUCGCUAAUUAACUAGUGCUACAUAGGCUUGAGCUUCGGAGGGAGAUAGAGUUUGUUUUCUUUCUUCAAUCAGGAAAGAUCAAUGUUAUAAGAGAUGGCUAGUAGAAGAAGAACUGAGACCUGAUAAGUCCGUCCAUGUAUUUCCACUCCAGUAUUGAUUACUCUCCGAAAUAACCAGAAAUGGUUUCGAUAAAUUCAAUCCUUGGUUAUCUUCCAUCUUCACUGAAGCCAACUGAGAAACCC